Molecule: non-coding RNA, 162 nt
Filed under: human gut metagenome
Also listed under: 1 other name
Description: Lysine riboswitch
Rfam family: Lysine riboswitch aptamer
About the family: Riboswitches are metabolite binding domains within certain messenger RNAs that serve as precision sensors for their corresponding targets.
Source: RNAcentral
GAUAGAGGAUGCGGACGAGAUCAGUAUCCAGCAGCAACGCCGGCGAGCGGCUGCGGGAGAAAGGCGGAUCCGCCGAAGUAGUUUCACGGUUGCCGCCGUGAUUCCGCUGGGACUGCGCCGAACAGGCGUUGGACUGUCACAUGACUUAUGUGGAGCGCUAUC